CUAUACAUGACUCUGUGCAUAUCAAUAAGCGGAGGAAAAGAAACUAACAAGGAUUCCCUUAGUAACGGCGAGUGAAGCGGGAAGAGCUCAAAUUUGAAAUCUUAAAGGGUUUCCCUUGACGAAUUGUAGUUUAAAGAAGUGUUUUCUGCUUAGUUGGAGUGGCAAAAGUUCUUUGGAAUAGGACAUCAUAGAGGGUGAGAAUCCCGUAUUUGAUCAUUAUUUCAGCUUUGUGAUACACUUUCAAAGAGUCGGAUUGUUUGGGAAUGCAGUCCAAAAUGGGUGGUAAAUUUCAUCUAAAGCUAAAUAUUGGCGAGAGACCGAUAGCGAACAAGUACCGUGAGGGAAAGAUGAAAAGAACUUUGAAAAGAGAGUUAAACAGUACGUGAAAUUGUCAAAAGGGAAGCGUUUGACACCAGUGUUGUUUUCUCGAAAAUCAAUUAAAAAUGGCUCGAUUUUGUAUUGUUGAGACCUUAAAAGCUCACUGUACAUUUUUCGUGUCUUUUUUAAUGCACUUUUCGUUUAACAAGUCAACAUCAGUUUCUUUUGUUGUAAAAGGGUCAUUGGAAGGUGGCUUUCUUUUCGGAGAAAGUGUUUAUAGCCUUUAGGCCUCUGCAAUCGGAGAGACUGAGGUCUGCAGCGUAGACUCUUCGGGGUUAGAUACAUUUGUGCUAAGUUAUAGCUUUUUAUAGACAACUUGUUGACUAUGAUUAGUCUUGUAGCUUACUCGCUUAUGCUAUUUUACCUACGCUUAGGAUGUUGACAGCAGUAUAGACUGU
Molecule: ribosomal RNA, 776 nt
Filed under: uncultured Neocallimastigales
Lineage: Eukaryota; Fungi; Neocallimastigomycota; Neocallimastigomycetes; Neocallimastigales
Description: partial large subunit ribosomal RNA
Rfam family: Eukaryotic large subunit ribosomal RNA
Source: RNAcentral